UCCCCAUUUCCAUUUCCUUAUUCCAUCUUGUACCUUGUAAAGAAAACUUAGAGAGACAAGGAAGUCUAGAGAGAGAAAGAGUGUAAGAAAGGGUAAAAAGGAGAAAAAGAGUUAUUCAACUUCGUUCAAAGAUCUAUAAAUGCAAGUACUCACCUCUUCACCUCCUAAAAAGAUGAAUCACUCUCGAAAAGCUUAAGGUUUCAGUAAGGAAUUUCUUGAGCAUGUUCUCUUAUAUUUCU
Molecule: long non-coding RNA, 239 nt
Filed under: Carica papaya (papaya)
Lineage: Eukaryota; Viridiplantae; Streptophyta; Magnoliopsida; Brassicales; Caricaceae
Description: long non-coding RNA (CPAP_LNC012411)
Source: RNAcentral